Molecule: transfer RNA, 70 nt
Filed under: Ictidomys tridecemlineatus (thirteen-lined ground squirrel)
Lineage: Eukaryota; Metazoa; Chordata; Mammalia; Rodentia; Sciuridae
Description: Spermophilus tridecemlineatus (thirteen-lined ground squirrel) tRNA
Rfam family: tRNA
About the family: Transfer RNA (tRNA) molecules are approximately 80 nucleotides in length.
Source: Rfam by way of RNAcentral
GUGGUUGUGGCUCAGAGGUAGAGUGCUUGCCUAGCAUGCACGAGACCUGGGUUUGAUCCACAGCACCACA